This 72-nucleotide transfer RNA is filed under the name Capra hircus (goat). It matches the Rfam family "tRNA". From Rfam's summary of the family: Transfer RNA (tRNA) molecules are approximately 80 nucleotides in length. Their secondary structure includes four short double-helical elements and three loops (D, anti-codon, and T loops). Further hydrogen bonds mediate the characteristic L-shaped molecular structure. tRNAs have two regions of fundamental functional importance: the anti-codon, which is responsible for specific mRNA codon recognition, and the 3' end, to which the tRNAs corresponding amino acid is attached (by aminoacyl-tRNA synthetases). tRNAs cope with the degeneracy of the genetic code in two manners: having more than one tRNA (with a specific anti-codon) for a particular amino acid; and 'wobble' base-pairing, i.e. permitting non-standard base-pairing at the 3rd anti-codon position. The record is from Rfam by way of RNAcentral. Lineage: Eukaryota; Metazoa; Chordata; Mammalia; Artiodactyla; Bovidae. RNAcentral also lists the same sequence under 1 other name.
UCCCUGGUGGCUCAGACAGUAAAGCAUCUGCCUACAAUGCAGCAGACCCAGGUUCGAUCCCUGGGUCGGGAA